This 146-nucleotide unclassified non-coding RNA is filed under the name uncultured Cadophora. RNAcentral describes it as "sequence contains ITS2". Lineage: Eukaryota; Fungi; Ascomycota; Leotiomycetes; Helotiales. The record is from RNAcentral.
UAACCACUCAAGCUCUCGCUUGGUAUUGGAGUUCGCGAUCUCGCGGCUCCUAAAAUCAGUGGCGGUGCCUGUCGGCUCUACGCGUAGUAAUACUCCUCGCGAUUGAGUCCGGUAGGUUUACUUGCCAGCAACCCCCAAUUUUUACA